RNAcentral lists this ribosomal RNA (326 nucleotides) under Coprinopsis cinerea. RNAcentral describes it as "eukaryotic LSU rRNA". The stretch from base 1 to 68 matches the Rfam family "5.8S ribosomal RNA", at positions 87 to 154 of the family's 154-position model. Lineage: Eukaryota; Fungi; Basidiomycota; Agaricomycetes; Agaricales; Psathyrellaceae. The record is from RNAcentral.
AAUCAUCGAAUCUUUGAACGCACCUUGCGCUCCUUGGUAUUCCGAGGAGCAUGCCUGUUUGAGUGUCAUUAAAUUCUCAACCUCACCAACUUUGUUGUGUGCAGGCUUGGAUGUGGGGGUUGCAGGUCCACUCUCGUGGUCUGCUCCUCUGAAAUGUAUUAGUGGGUUGUGCCCCUAAUCUAUUGGUGUGAUAAUUAUCUACGCCGUGGAUUGGGUUGGUUACUUGAAGACCUGCUUCUAACCGUCCCUUGGACAACUUUUGACAAUUUUGACCUCAAAUCAGGCAAGACUACCCGCUGAACUUAAGCAUAUCAAUAAGCGGAGGA